This 485-nucleotide ribosomal RNA is filed under the name Achromobacter sp. RNAcentral's name for it is "bacterial SSU rRNA". It matches the Rfam family "Bacterial small subunit ribosomal RNA", at positions 30 to 508 of the family's 1533-position model. The record is from RNAcentral. Lineage: Bacteria; Pseudomonadati; Pseudomonadota; Betaproteobacteria; Burkholderiales; Alcaligenaceae.
AUUGAACGCUAGCGGGAUGCCUUACACAUGCAAGUCGAACGGCAGCACGGACUUCGGUCUGGUGGCGAGUGGCGAACGGGUGAGUAAUGUAUCGGAACGUGCCCAGUAGCGGGGGAUAACUACGCGAAAGCGUAGCUAAUACCGCAUACGCCCUACGGGGGAAAGCAGGGGAUCGCAAGACCUUGCACUAUUGGAGCGGCCGAUAUCGGAUUAGCUAGUUGGUGGGGUAACGGCUCACCAAGGCGACGAUCCGUAGCUGGUUUGAGAGGACGACCAGCCACACUGGGACUGAGACACGGCCCAGACUCCUACGGGAGGCAGCAGUGGGGAAUUUUGGACAAUGGGGGAAACCCUGAUCCAGCCAUCCCGCGUGUGCGAUGAAGGCCUUCGGGUUGUAAAGCACUUUUGGCAGGAAAGAAACGUCGCGGGCUAAUACCCCGCGGAACUGACGGUACCUGCAGAAUAAGCACCGGCUAACUACGUGC